CAAUCCAGGUCGGUUUCUAUCUAUGACGCCCCCUUCUUCAGUACGAAAGGACAAAGAAGGAGGGACCAAUGCCACAGGCACGUCCCACAGCCAAGCUGAACAGAACUAAAGCUAGUUGGCCACCAACAAGCUCGAAGACAACGACUAUUA
Molecule: ribosomal RNA, 150 nt
Filed under: Chalcides ocellatus
Lineage: Eukaryota; Metazoa; Chordata; Lepidosauria; Squamata; Scincidae
Description: partial 16S ribosomal RNA
Source: RNAcentral